AACAAACGCUGGCGGCGUGUCUUAAGCAUGCAAGUUGAGCGGCAAGGGGGAGCGAUCCCCCCUAGAGCGGCGGACUGGUGAGUAACACGUGGAUGAUCUACCCGAGGCAUGGGGAUAGUCACUAGAAAUAGUGGGUAAUACCGAAUACGGUGCGCAUCGUGAGGGUGCGCAAGAAAGGUGCUACGGCACCGGCCUAGGAUGAGUCUGCGUCCCAUUAGCUGGUUGGUGAGGUAAGAGCCCACCAAGGCGAUGAUGGGUAGCCGGCCUGAGAGGGUGUACGGCCACACUGGGACUGAGAUACGGCCCAGACUCCUACGGGAGGCAGCAGCUAAGAAUAUUCCGCAAUGGACGAAAGUCUGACGGAGCGACGCCGCGUGGAUGAAGAAGGCCGAAAGGUUGUAAAGUUCUUUUGUUGGGGAAGAAUAACCACGGGAGGGAAUGCCCGUGGGAUGACAUG
This 457-nucleotide ribosomal RNA is filed under the name uncultured bacterium. RNAcentral's name for it is "bacterial SSU rRNA". It matches the Rfam family "Bacterial small subunit ribosomal RNA", at positions 29 to 476 of the family's 1533-position model. The record is from RNAcentral.